CCUACGGGCGGCAGCAGUGGGGAAUAUUGGACAAUGGGCGAAAGCCUGAUCCAGCCAUGCCGCGUGUGUGAAGAAGGCCUUCGGGUUGUAAAGCACUUUCAGUGGGGAAGAAAGCCUUGGGGCUAAUACCCUCGAGGAAGGACAUCACCCACAGAAGAAGCACCGGCUAACUCCGUGCCAGCAGCCGCGGUAAUACGGAGGGUGCGAGCGUUAAUCGGAAUUACUGGGCGUAAAGCGCGCAUAGGCGGUCUGAUAAGCCGGUUGUGAAAGCCCCGGGCUCAACCUGGGAACGGCAUCCGGAACUGUCAGGCUAGAGUGCAGGAGAGGAAGGUAGAAUUCCCGGUGUAGCGGUGAAAUGCGUAGAGAUCGGGAGGAAUACCAGUGGCGAAGGCGGCCUUCUGGACUGACACUGACGCUGAGGUGCGAAAGCGUGGGUAGCAAACAGGAUUAGAUACCCCGGUAGUC
RNAcentral lists this ribosomal RNA (465 nucleotides) under Vreelandella stevensii. Its description in RNAcentral is "partial 16S ribosomal RNA". It matches the Rfam family "Bacterial small subunit ribosomal RNA", at positions 338 to 795 of the family's 1533-position model. The record is from RNAcentral. Lineage: Bacteria; Pseudomonadati; Pseudomonadota; Gammaproteobacteria; Oceanospirillales; Halomonadaceae.